Molecule: ribosomal RNA, 253 nt
Filed under: uncultured bacterium
Lineage: Bacteria
Description: partial 16S ribosomal RNA
Rfam family: Bacterial small subunit ribosomal RNA
Source: RNAcentral
UAUGUAGGGUGCAAGCGUUGUCCGGAAUUAUUGGGCGUAAAGAGCUCGUAGGCGGUCUGUCGCGUCGGCUGUGAAAACCCGAGGCUCAACCUCGGGCCUGCAGUCGAUACGGGCAAACUAGAGUACUGCAGGGGAGACUGGAAUUCCUGGUGUAGCGGUGAAAUGCGCAGAUAUCAGGAGGAACACCGGUGGCGAAGGCGGGUCUCUGGGCAUUACCUGACGCUGAGGAGCGAAAGUGUGGGGAGCGAACAGG